CCUACGGGCGGCAGCAGUGGGGAAUUUUGGACAAUGGGCGAAAGCCUGAUCCAGCCAUGCCGCGUGCAGGAUGAAGGCCUUCGGGUUGUAAACUGCUUUUGUACGGAACGAAAAGACUCUGGUUAAUACCUGGGGUCCAUGACGGUACCGUAAGAAUAAGCACCGGCUAACUACGUGCCAGCAGCCGCGGUAAUACGUAGGGUGCAAGCGUUAAUCGGAAUUACUGGGCGUAAAGCGUGCGCAGGCGGUUAUAUAAGACAGAUGUGAAAUCCCCGGGCUCAACCUGGGAACUGCAUUUGUGACUGUAUAGCUAGAGUACGGCAGAGGGGGAUGGAAUUCCGCGUGUAGCAGUGAAAUGCGUAGAUAUGCGGAGGAACACCGAUGGCGAAGGCAAUCCCCUGGGUCUGUACUGACGCUCAUGCACGAAAGCGUGGGGAGCAAACAGGAUUAGAUACCCUGGUAGUCU
Molecule: ribosomal RNA, 466 nt
Filed under: uncultured Comamonadaceae bacterium
Lineage: Bacteria; Pseudomonadati; Pseudomonadota; Betaproteobacteria; Burkholderiales; Comamonadaceae
Description: bacterial SSU rRNA
Rfam family: Bacterial small subunit ribosomal RNA
Source: RNAcentral